Labeo rohita (rohu) is the source of this 1056-nucleotide long non-coding RNA. RefSeq lists it as uncharacterized. Lineage: Eukaryota; Metazoa; Chordata; Actinopteri; Cypriniformes; Cyprinidae. The transcript has 3 exons. The record is from RefSeq and is a predicted model, not a curated record.
UUGUUUUUUUUAAAAACGUUGUCACUGCUAAAAAAUAGUAGUUGUUUGCACUAUUUAGACAAAUAAUUGACUACACUGAUCAAGUUAAGAAGACAUCACUCAGUAUGUUACGUUUUUGAAAAGGGGGAGGGGCUUUUUGAAGCAGGUUGCGUGAGCAGAGCUGCUUCACUGAAGAGAUGGGUUGACGCGCCAACGGUUAAUCUUUGAAAACAACGUGAAUCUGUCCAUGUGAGAAGAUGCAGUGGAAGUGACUCUGCUGAUGAUCAUGUGUUCCAAGACCUUGACCUUGGAAUCCUCCUUGUUGAGCGUGAAGGUGCUGUGUCUCCGUCCUCUCUGCAUGUCAAUCCAGCCUCAUUUAAGAUUGUCAUCGAGGGAGAAGUUGUGAUGAAAAGCAUUAAAGACUUGCCAAAGGCUAUGUAGCUUCUCUUUGGACUUACGUAUGCACUUCAUCUAAGCUACCCCAAACCAAUGAAGAACACAUUUCAGUUCAUCCAGCAGGUACUUCUAAUGUUGGGCCACACUGACUUGAAGCCCAGGUUACAGACAUUAAAGAACCAGCUUGCAAUUUAAUUUUGACAGGAGUGGCUGUUUACUGUUCUUGAUGUGCACAAUUAAUCUCUGAGGUGAUUCUCUUGUUCCAAAUAUCCUGUCAUUGCUGUAAGUUAAAUUAAACCAGUUAAAUUAGAAGAGGUUAAAAGAGAAAGAGGUUAAAAAGAGAAAGAGGUUAAAAGAGAAAAUAAAGAGUUAAAUUGUACCAGUUUUCUGUGGUAAAAAUGUUUAAAAUUCACAGGAGUCAUCUUUGUUUUAAAGAGUUGACUCAAGUUUUAAUGCUUAUCCAGUUUUAAAGCAUGUUUAGUCAUUCAGAGGGAUAUGGCAUAUUGUUGAAUACUAUGUGUUCAUGUUACUGUAAGCAAUUUGUACAGUUGUUGACUAGCAAAUAAGAAUUGUAUGUCAAAAAAUGUUACUUGUCUUUUGUAUGACAAGUUCAUACAUGGAUGAAUACACUGUAUUGCCUGUUUUUAUGAGCAAUAAAAACAUUGGAAUGCGGUUAGUUUA